RNAcentral lists this transfer RNA (64 nucleotides) under Hydrophilidae sp. BMNH 1274334. RNAcentral describes it as "tRNA-Phe". Lineage: Eukaryota; Metazoa; Arthropoda; Insecta; Coleoptera; Hydrophilidae. The record is from RNAcentral.
AUUUAAAUAGCUUAUAAAAGAGUAUAAUAUUGAAGAUAUUAGGGAAACAUAAUUGUUUUUAAAU